RNAcentral lists this long non-coding RNA (310 nucleotides) under Actinidia chinensis (golden kiwifruit). RNAcentral's name for it is "long non-coding RNA (ACHI_LNC008608)". Lineage: Eukaryota; Viridiplantae; Streptophyta; Magnoliopsida; Ericales; Actinidiaceae. The record is from RNAcentral.
UGAGUAGAUCGAGUAUGGCAACUUAGGCCAUGGAAGGACAAACAGGUAGAGUCCUUGUGGAGGGUUUUUGUUUUGUGGGUUCCUUUUAUUUCUUCUUGCUACUGCUGAAUGGACAUGUAGGGAACGUGGGAAAGCUUAGAUUUAAUUUUGGACAACUUUGUAUUGCAUUAUGUAAUUAGCUGAGGUCCAGUUGUCCUUAUAGUCCUAUAGGAAUGCACGAACGCUUCCAACUUCAUUAUGUAUUGUAUUUAUAUCUUACUUAGUGUUAGUUUGUAUUAUAGUAGCCUUGACAUUCGUAGAAGCUAUUUUG